RNAcentral lists this ribosomal RNA (460 nucleotides) under uncultured bacterium. Its description in RNAcentral is "partial 16S ribosomal RNA". It matches the Rfam family "Bacterial small subunit ribosomal RNA", at positions 338 to 795 of the family's 1533-position model. The record is from RNAcentral.
CCUACGGGAGGCUGCAGUGAGGAAUAUUGGUCAAUGGGCGCUAGCCUGAACCAGCCAAGUAGCGUGAAGGAUGACUGCCCUAUGGGUUGUAAACUUCUUUUAUAUGGGAAUAAAGUGCAGUAUGUAUACUGCUUUGCAUGUACCUUAUGAAUAAGGAUCGGCUAACUCCGUGCCAGCAGCCGCGGUAAUACGGGGGGUGCAAGCGUUGUCCGGAAUCAUUGGGCGUAAAGAGUUCGUAGGUGGCACGUUAAGUCUGGUGUUAAAGGCGGAAGCUCAACUUCCGUAGGGCACUGGAUACUGGCGAGCUUGAAUGCGGUAGAGGUAAAGGGAAUUCCUGGUGUAGCGGUGAAAUGCGUAGAUAUCAGGAGGAACAUCGGUGGCGUAAGCGCUUUACUGGGCCGUAAUUGACACUGAGGAACGAAAGCCGGGGUAGCAAAUGGGAUUAGAUACCCUUGUAGUC